This 497-nucleotide ribosomal RNA is filed under the name uncultured bacterium. RNAcentral's name for it is "partial 16S ribosomal RNA". It matches the Rfam family "Bacterial small subunit ribosomal RNA", at positions 28 to 507 of the family's 1533-position model. The record is from RNAcentral.
GAUGAACGCUGGCGGCGUGCCUAAUACAUGCAAGUCGAGCGAACAGAUGAGGAGCUUGCUCCUCUGACGUUAGCGGUGGACGGGUGAGUAACACGUGGAUAACCUACCUAUAAGACUGGGAUAACUUCGGGAAACCGGAGCUAAUACCGGAUAAUAUAUUGAACCGCAUGGUUCAAUAGUGAAAGACGGUUUUGCUGUCACUUAUAGAUGGAUCCGCGCCGCAUUAGCUAGUUGGUAAGGUAACGGCUUACCAAGGCAACGAUGCGUAGCCGACCUGAGAGGGUGAUCGGCCACACGGGAACUGAGACACGGUCCAGACUCCUACGGGAGGCAGCAGUAGGGAAUCUUCCGCAAUGGGCGAAAGCCUGACGGAGCAACGCCGCGUGAGUGAUGAAGGUCUUCGGAUCGUAAAACUCUGUUAUUAGGGAAGAACAAAUGUGUAAGUAACUAUGCACGUCUUGACGGUACCUAAUCAGAAAGCCACGGCUAACUACGUG